CCUACGGGAGGCAGCAGUGGGGAAUAUUGGACAAUGGGCGAAAGCCUGAUCCAGCCAUGCCGCGUGUGUGAAGAAGGCCUUCGGGUUGUAAAGCACUUUCAGUGGGGAAGAAAGCCUUGGGGCUAAUACCCUCGAGGAAGGACAUCACCCACAGAAGAAGCACCGGCUAACUCCGUGCCAGCAGCCGCGGUAAUACGGAGGGUGCGAGCGUUAAUCGGAAUUACUGGGCGUAAAGCGCGCGUAGGCGGUCUGAUAAGCCGGUUGUGAAUGCCCCGGGCUCAACCUGGGAACGGCAUCCGGAACUGUCAGGCUAGAGUGCAGGAGAGGAAGGUAGAAUUCCCGGUGUAGCGGUGAAAUGCGUAGAGAUCGGGAGGAAUACCAGUGGCGAAGGCGGCCUUCUGGACUGACACUGACGCUGAGGUGCGAAAGCGUGGGUAGCAAACAGGAUUAGAUACCCCAGUAGUC
This 465-nucleotide ribosomal RNA is filed under the name Vreelandella stevensii. RNAcentral describes it as "partial 16S ribosomal RNA". It matches the Rfam family "Bacterial small subunit ribosomal RNA", at positions 338 to 795 of the family's 1533-position model. Lineage: Bacteria; Pseudomonadati; Pseudomonadota; Gammaproteobacteria; Oceanospirillales; Halomonadaceae. The record is from RNAcentral.